This is a long non-coding RNA of Triticum dicoccoides, 1190 nucleotides long. RefSeq lists it as uncharacterized. NCBI's taxonomy places the organism in Eukaryota, Viridiplantae, Streptophyta, Magnoliopsida, Poales, Poaceae. The record is from RefSeq and is a predicted model, not a curated record. The transcript is spliced from 3 exons.
CGCCAUGGCGUCUCCCCUAGCUUCCUCGCGUGGUGGUGCUCUGCCCGCCGACCGGCGCCUCCCACGAGCUCCCCGCGCGCCACCGCUACUCUAUCUUCCUCCCAGCACAUGGGGCUGCCUCUCCCCACCUCCCACCGCUGCCGUAUCUGUGGCCCACCACGAGAUCAAGCCUCACCAAUGCCAUCGGCACCCCACAACCUCUCUCUCGCAUCCCCGGCAACCCCUCCACAUUCCUCCACCUCCUCUCCCUCCCAGCGCAGACGAGGCCGACGGCGAGACCCCUCCGGCCGCCGCAGCCCAGCUACCGACCACUGUCGCCCAGCACCGAAUCUCUCCGGAUCCAUCUUGCCCUGCUUUAACCGCCGCCAUCUCGGGCUGCCAGACACCUAGAUCCGACGAGUUCACCACCCCUCGUCCCUCCUCCUUACCCCGGCGACCAACGGGAUUGGGCAUCGGUGCUCCUCUACAUCAUCAGUGGGAAGAUCAGAGGAGGUGUUUCAAAAAGGCGGCCACUUCUACGUCUCCAGGAGAUUCCUUGCCACAAGGAAAAUUUGAUGGUGGUGACUACAAAAAUCGUGGAAGAACAAUGGCAGGGUAUGCAGUACAGAAGUCCCAGGCUUGAAGCGCACCGGGGCAUGCGAUGCGGUUUGGUGAGGGCCUGUGAGCUCAAAAAUAGGGCCGGCGAGCCCUCCUGUCUUCGCCCCAUACAAGCCCUGCCCGUCAUGCUUCGUACACUCCAUCUUGAUGUUCACUGAAUCCUCAUUUGUUGUGCGUUUGCAUGAUUGUGGCCUACUAGGAGAGGAGGAAGUGGGCGAUUCCAACCACACGAUGUCGGUGUGUUAGUCCCCUUUCCUGAUGACCACGACCUUCACAUCGCCUCUUCUCACUCUGUGUUGCACCUUGAUGUGCAGAGAGGAAAAAAACACAUGGUGAAAAAGUGGGCGACUGCGACCACACGAGGGCGCUGGGAGACAGGUGCAGUUCAUUUGGGAUCGGUUGCCCAGGGUGCUGCAGUGCGGUUCUUUUUUUUGAGAAACUGUAGUGCGGUUCCUUGGUGGGGCAUGCUGCAGUUCGCAUUGGUGGCCCAAUGCACUGUAGUUUUACCUUUUUGUUAUUUUUUGGGUUCAGUUCAAUUUAGUUCCUUUUGCGUGAGAGGGCAGAACAACAAAACAGAAAAAUAGUACUGCUAC